UACUGUACAAAAGCACAAUUUUGAGGUACUUCUAUUUUAGUUAGUUCUAAUUAAUGUUACUUUAUACUUCUACUCCA
Etheostoma cragini (Arkansas darter) is the source of this 77-nucleotide long non-coding RNA. RefSeq lists it as uncharacterized. The transcript is spliced from 3 exons. The record is from RefSeq and is a predicted model, not a curated record. Lineage: Eukaryota; Metazoa; Chordata; Actinopteri; Perciformes; Percidae.